AAUAGACCAAAUAACUCGCUUUCGGAGCGCACCUAUUUACUCAAUCGUCAUGUUUGCUGGACGUACUCAACGCAAAAACGUAUUGUUCACGAUAAGAAGGCACACAAGGAGAUUAUAACCACGGAUUUUUAUUAUAAAGUUUUCAUCAAAAAAUAUAGGAGAAAAACGCGGAACGCUUCUUAGUCUGCAUUAAUAGCAUACAGUUCAUCUAUUCUUAUGUCAUUCGAAAACCACAUUGCGCAUUAAUAAAGCCAUAAUAAGCAAAGAGAUGCCACGGGAAACAUCUGAUUGGGAACAAUUACCGGUUAAGAGGAUUUUUAGUACUGCAGCUACUUAUGCAAAAGCCAUGGAAAAAUUAGUCCUAGCGCAAGAAACGUCCAACAUAGACAACAUAGACAACAGUGAUAUGUCUUCAGAAGUAUUAAGAGAGCCAGAGAAGAAAAGAAGGCGCAUAAAAGCAAAAAAGAAGUUCUCCUCUUUUUCAUCUGACAAAGAUAUUGCAGAUAAUAAUAAGGAAAAUAGAUGGACACAAAUGAAAACGUUAUCUGCUUUUCCAGGAAUAGAACAAUUUGUGCCUGUCAUUAAUGAACAUAUCCACACACAGUUUCCAAUACACAAAUCUACAGAUAAUUCUAAAGAUAUAUUAUUCAACAAAACAUUAAUCAAUAUCGCGAAAAAUAAUGAUGAAGACACUAAUAGACAAAGUAAACGAAAGAACUUCUUGGAGAAAAUUCUACUAUUAAUAGGGGUAAAGAAUAGUUUUCAACGGAUGAAUUCAAUAAACAAGUUUUAUUAAAGUUAAACAAAAUAUUAUAUAAACUUGAUAUAUUAGAAAACAAACUCCAUAUUGUUGAAAAUAAGAUAGGAUUUGUCAAUUCUGUUCGUGAGGAAUGUAAUGUUACAUUCCCUGUAUCCACAAUAUCGGAACUAACAUGUUUUGAAGAGCAAUUACAGAAAAUGCAAUUCAAAAAUGAAGUGCUUCAUUUUUUCAAUUGGUUGGUGGAAGUACAGCGCAUGUUAUGAUUCAUAAUAUGCUGAAAAAAGCAAUUACAAAUUCUGUAGCCCUAAAUUUUAGUUGGGCUGGAAAAAGAGCUUCCAACAGUUAAAUCUCACAAAAAUGAUUGCACAAGCUGUUCGAAUGUUACAUGGCCAGGUAACAGAUAUGGAAAUUGCAGACUCCAUAUCAAAGUGGCUUGCACAAACUACUUUAAGAACUACAAGAGAAAAGUCGCAUCCAGCAAUGUGAAUCGAAUUGACUAGUAAAGAGACGUUAAUGGAAGAAGAAAAAUCGCGCGGAACUCAACGGCCUCUCGUCCCCGAAGUAUUUUUGGUGAAUACACGCUGAACCUCAUGUAACAGUGUUAGGCAUAAGUCGACUAAGAACCGGUUUUUCAAUGAUUGUUUAAACUUAGAUUUCGACUUAAACUCGAUUUAAACAAAACAAAUUAUUAACAUUCUAACAUUGUUAGAAUGUUAAUAAUAUAUGUUACAUAUAUGUGAUAUAUAUUUUUUUAUCGUCUUUAAAAAAUCCUUUUGUUGCAGAGGAAAAGUUCUUUUAGGGAAACAUGUAACAGUUAAUUUUUUUCAUUAUCUAAUGAUUUAUUAUGGUAACAGAUAAGAUAACACAUUUGAACAUCACUUUGUAUAUAUUUAGUAUAUGUUGUUAUUUAAUGAUCUGUGAUUCACAACCCGAACUCAGGAGUACUUACUUCAUUUUAGAUCCAAUUUUAAAAUUGCUUCUAUUAACACAAGAUAAUAAUCAAUUUCCCUAUGAUUCACUAUGUGGCAACAUUGCAGAUAUUACAUUAAUCUUUCAAAAAUCAAAUGUUUUAUGGUGACAACUUAAUUUCUAUAACCGUUAGGGUUUAAAAUGACUCCAGGUGACUAUUCCCGAGUUGAAGAAAGAAAUAUAAGUCAUUUUGUUUUGUUUUUAUGAUUUGUUACGGUAACAAAUUAAAAAGUUACUGUUUUUUUUCUAUAACAUUAUGUUUCAUUUUGUUUAAGAAAACAAUUGAAAAAUUUAUUUUAUUUCUUGUUUCAUAGUCUAUAACAGAUCUCCCAGAAUACCUAUAAAAAAUAAAUAUAUAAUUGA
Molecule: RNA transcript, 2092 nt
Organism: Odontomachus brunneus
Lineage: Eukaryota; Metazoa; Arthropoda; Insecta; Hymenoptera; Formicidae
Exons: 8
Source: RefSeq, a predicted model, not a curated record